UGCCAUGGCCCAGACACUGCAGAUGGA
RNAcentral lists this non-coding RNA (27 nucleotides) under Homo sapiens (human). Lineage: Eukaryota; Metazoa; Chordata; Mammalia; Primates; Hominidae. The record is from RNAcentral.